This 254-nucleotide ribosomal RNA is filed under the name uncultured bacterium. RNAcentral describes it as "partial 16S ribosomal RNA". It matches the Rfam family "Bacterial small subunit ribosomal RNA", at positions 524 to 776 of the family's 1533-position model. The record is from RNAcentral.
GACGAACCGUGCGAACGUUAUUCGGAAUCAUUGGGCUUAAAGGGCGCGUAGGCGGCGGUGUAAGUUGGAAGUGAAAUCCCAUCGGCUCAACCGUGGAAUUGCUCCCAGUACUGCAUCGCUCGAGGGGGAUAGGGGUCUGCGGAACUACCGGUGGAGCGGUGAAAUGUGUUGGUAUCGGUGGGAACGCCAGUGGCGAAAGCGGCAGACUUGACCCUUCCUGACGCUGAGGCGCGAAAGCUAGGGGAGCAAACGGG